GGGCCCGCACAAGCGGAGGAACAUGUGGUUUAAUUCGAUGAUACGCGAGGAACCUUACCCGGGCUUGAAACGCGUUCGACGUGGCCGGAGACGGCCACUCCCCUCGGGGCGGGCGCGUAGGUGCUGCAUGGUUGUCGUCAGCUCGUGCCGUGAGGUGUCGGCUUAAGUGCCAUAACGAGCGCAACCCUCAUCGUUAGUUACCAUCAGGUGAUGCUGGGGACUAUAGCGAGACUGCCAUCGUAAGGUGAGAGGAAGGUGGGGAUGACGUCAAAUCAGCACGGCCCUUAUGUCCGGGGCGACACACGUGUUACAAUGGGCGGUACAAAGGGUAGCCACCCGGUGACGGGGCGCCAAUCCCCAAAACCGCUCUCAGUUCGGAUCGGAGUCUGCAACUCGACUUCGUGAAGCUGGAUUCGCUAGUAAUCGCGCAUCAGCCACGGCGCGGUGAAUACGUUCCCGGGCCUU
Molecule: ribosomal RNA, 465 nt
Filed under: uncultured bacterium
Lineage: Bacteria
Description: bacterial SSU rRNA
Rfam family: Bacterial small subunit ribosomal RNA
Source: RNAcentral